GUCUCCUUGGGGCUUGCUCGAGAGAUGCCUCUCACAUGACACUUGCUACUCGUCUGUCGUUACUUCAACCCAACACUCAAAUAACGACCGACUAGUCAGUUUGAUGUUGAUACCAGGAAAGACUCUAGAACAGGUAAUUGGUGUGGGAGCACUUAGAAAAGGAUGCUGUGAUUACUAAGACCCAGCAUGGCUUUCUCAAAAACUAGUCAUGCCAGACAAAUCUCAUUUCUUUUUUUUAAUAGAGUUACAAGCUUGGUGGAUAGGGGAAUGCUGUGGACGUAGCCUAUCUAGUCCCCCAUAAUAUUCUUUCCUAUAAGCUGGUAAAAUAUGGACUAGAUGAUGACUGACCAAACCCAAAGAGUGCUCACUAGUACAUGUGAAAAUGAUCCAGGGGUCUUAUUGGUCUGCAAACUUAGCAUGAGUCCACAGUGUGAUGUAGCAGCAAAAAAAAGCGCUAAUGCUUUUCUGGGUUGCAUCAACCUAUCCUGACCAAGGGAAGUCAUGGUCCCACUCUACUCUGCCUUGGUCAGACCACACCUGGAAUACUGUGUCCAGUCCUGGGCACCACAGUUUAAGAAGGAUGUGGACAAGCUGGAAGGUGUGCAGAGGAGGGCAGCCAAGAUGACCAAGGCCUGGAAACCAAGCCUGAUGAGGAAUGGAAGUUUAGCUUAGAAGAGAGGAGACUGAGAGAAGACAUGAUAGCCAACCUUUUUUAGUUUUUUGGAAAUUCCCCCCAGACGUCAAUUCCACCUUUGGAAUCCCAGUAAUGUCCGGGGAAAUCCGGACGCAUGACAGCCCUAAUGUAACAUCAUUUCCUCUGGACUAUUGCAUGGCAAAUGAGGAACAGGAGUGAGUUCUUCUCUGCAAUUCUGCCAUUGCUUGGAGAAGCAGCAAAGUUUUUGAAGUGAUGAAAACCAUCUGCCAUCUCUCUUUAAAAGUACCGGGUAUUCCUCAAACUACCGUUAACAUAUUUUCCCAACACAACACCUAAAAUUGCUGAAUAUAUUUUCAUAGGGGACAUAAUGUUUCCCAAAAUAGUAAGAAUGUUAAUAUAAUCUGAACCCCAGCAAUUUAAGGCUUUGAAGGUGAUUAGAAGCCAGUGAAACCGAAGUAAAUAUCAGUCCACAGAAUCUAAUAUCUGGUCCCACAAUAUUCUAGCAGUUGCAUUUUCUUCCACAUACUCUUCAGUGGCAGCUCCACAUGGAGUGUGCUGCAGUGGCCCAUUCUUCAUGCAACUAAUGCAUACCUUGCCAUAUUUGUUAUGUGAAAUGAUUUUGUCAGACCUGGCCGGUGGCCAGAAGUAGCCUAAAGCAGGAGCAGGCGUUGGGGAAAUAUCCUGGCUGUUUCAUCAUGUUGUGGCAAAGCCAGAUAGACCAACAAUGCAUUGGGGAGAUGAUUAUCUCUCCAACAACUGUAAACAUUGCUGGAAUAACAGCUUCUAAAAGGUGUUAUAAAACCAGACAUGUUGUUCAAAACCAGGUUAGAAAACCAUUUCAGCUUUGAUCAUUUCAACUUUGUAUUGUAUUUUAUUUUCUGUUAACCUUUUAAUAUUCACCAUUUCAUUCUUCCGUGAUUUAAAAUGAAAGAAUUAUAUAGUGAGAAACUCAGUUAUUUCCUCGUUUCUUCCAUCUCCAGUUCCUUGUUUCUGGGUAUAAAAAGCUUCAUCUCAAAAAGGAGGUAUUGACUGAUACUUGCCUAACCCUAUAGAUACAUCCUUAUCCUGUGCUCUUUUCCAAUUAUUUCCAUCAUCCUGCUGCUUCCAUUUGGGGUGGGGGGGAUGUGUGAGGAGGAAAUAUUUCUGCCAGUUUGAAAUGGACACACACAUUUGGGAAUCUCACAGGCCAAGCUUCGAAAUUAUGUACCAUCAGGUUCAUCUGCCAUUCACAAAAGACUGAAACAAAACUGAGACUGUAUCCAAUGGAAACAUGGCAAGAUCCAACUUGAGAGGCAGUUUGGUCAUCAGGAUCUUAGUCGCAAUAGUGCUGCUGUUUGUAAUGUUUCCUUACACUGUCUGCAAGAAUCAGCCCAUCAGUUGCAUCCUAGAUGAUGACCCUCUGCCUAUACCUCACAAAUUUUAUCAGCGGGGUGACUUUGUCAUUGGAGAGAUGGUUUCUCAGGUCUUCCUCUUUCAUGACAGUCCCUCAUUCACAGACGUGCCCACACAGAUGUCAAUUGGCGAACCUGCGUAAGGAACACUUCCUUUCCCCCCUUUCUAGAGUUCCUUCAGAUUAAAAGGAUAUCCUAUCACUAUGUGACAGGAUACUACAGUAAUAAGAUUUGUGUUUAAGUAUGAUGAAAGUAUAUUUCCAGCAGUCACUGGAAGUUGCCAGCUAUUUUGUGUUCUUUAUGUUGGUGGCUGUUGGGCACAAUCCACUGGGAUGUUCCGCGACACAAAACUCGGACUUUGUGGGGCUUUUACAGAACAAUGUCACAGGGAUUGUUCCCUUCGUGAGUCUUGGACACGUCAUUCCCAGGCAUUCAGUACUUCAUUGUCUCUCACCUUCUGCUUAUUCUCUCUCUUCUGUUCACAUCUGUUUGCAUAUUUUAAAAAUAUUGUUUCACUUCAUAUUAUUAUAUUGUACAAUACGAAAAGUUUUAUUAUUGUGCUUUAUUCUUACUGUUUCCAUCCCAGUAAAAUUUCCUGAUUGAGUAGUGCAUGUCUCUUCACACAAAACACAGGUGGAGACACUGAUCUGAUGUGGAUAGCACACUUUGCAAGGAAGAUUAAUCUGUGGGGCCAAUCAGACAACAUCCCACAGUAUGCUGGGCUAGAUCCUGGCACCAUGAGGCAGGGAAGCCACCCCUGAUCUAGAUCUAUUAGGUUCUUUACUCAGUCUUUUCAUACAGCGGAAUAAAUGUUUUAAGAAAUCUAUUCUAAAUAUUUCAUCUAAAAGGACCUGCUAAUAGAUUAUAUCCUGCAAUAAUUUGUAUUCUAUAUCCCAACAUUUUCAGAAUUUUUAAAGUUCCAGCUCAACCAUGAGCGUAGUCAGAGGUGUAACGAUGAAAGCAAGAAAGGGCCUUUCCUUUGCCUCAUGAAACAGACAGUAACUCUCAUUCCAGGUCCGUUCCUAAGAACUACCAGCACAUCCUGGCUUUGCUGCUUGCUGUCAAAGAGAUCAAUGAGAAUCCCCAAAUCAUACCCAACAUCUCUUUGGGCUUCCACAUCCUCAACAGCUACUAUGUGGCAAGGACGACAUACAAAGCCAGCCUGAGCCUCCUUUCCUCACAACACAGGUUUGUUCCCAACUACAAGUGUGAUAUUCAGAGUAAACUGAUAGCUGUCAUUGGCGGACUUGCUACUGAAACCUCUGCCAACAUGGCUAGCAUUUUUGCCACCUACAAGAUCCCACAGGUGAGACAUAUUCAUUGAUGCAUGAGCAUUUUCCAACAAUGGCUCAUAUUUUUAUGCUUUUUUAAUCCAUACAACAAAACCCUCCUUCCUUUCAGCUCACAUAUGGAUCAUUUACCCCAGUGCAGGGUGACAAAACAUUGUUUUCUUCCUUAUAUCAGAUGGUCCCAAAGGAAGCCCACCAGUACAUUGGGGUAGUCAGGCUCCUUCACCAUUUCAGAUGGACAUGGAUUGGGCUCUUUGCUGUGGAUGAUGACAAUGGGGACAGGUUUUUGCACACAGUGGUUCCAUUGCUUGAUCAGAAUGGCAUCUGCUAUGCCUUCAUACUACGAACAGCAAAGAGGACAUUUAUGGAAGAGCUGAUAAACAUGGUAUUAGCACAACUGGGAAAAUACUCACUUCUUCAAGAUAGAAAAGUCAGUGCAUGUUUUGUAUAUGGAGAAGAUCCAGCCAUGCCAGUUUUGAGAAUGUUGUUGUUUUUCGCAACAUUUUAUGAAUUGCCACCAGUGGGUAAAGUUUGGAUUGUUACAUCCCAAUGGGAUUUCUGUGCCUUCUCCCUUCAAAAGCUUUGGGAUAUAGAAAGCUUCCACGGUGCCCUAUCCAUCACGGUUCGCUCAAGGGAGCCACUUGGAUUCCAAAGUCUUCUUGAGAUCAUUGAACCUUCUUGGGCAAAAGGAGAUGGUUUCAUUCAGAAUUUCUGGGAGCAGUCAUUCAGCUGCUCAUUAAAAAAAUCUGACGGGAAUGUGGAGGGAAAGAAAGCCUGCACUGGCCGGGAGAAGUUGGAGAGUCUUCCUAGUACUCUUUUUGAAAUGGGCAUGACUGGCCACAGCUACAAUGUCUACAGUGCUGCUCAUGCUGUGGCACAUGCUUUGCAUGUCCUAUGUGAAUCCAGAUGGAAACAUAGCAGACUGCUAGAGGGAGUGAGACCAACAGACUGUAAUGUGCAGUCUUGGCAGGUAGUUACACCUUUAAUACAACACACACAGAGAGAAAUAUAUUCAAAGCAGGAAGGUAUGCCCUAAAAGAUGCUUAAAUAUGUCUUUUCCCCCACAGUUCCUCUUUAGAACAAUUUGUGACUUGUAACCUGAAACUAACUUUGCUUGUUCCCUUCUCCUUUACUAUCCACUUUCAUGAUGUUCCAUGUCUUUUUUAAUUGGAAGUCUGAAGGCCAUGAUUUUCUGCUCUGGGUCCAUUUUGUUUUGGCCGAGUAUCACAUUUAAAAAAUAACAGAUAAAUAAUAUAACAAACUCAUCAACAGCUGUAUCAAAUCCAUGGCUCCCUUAACCAACUGCCUUCUUUCUGUGGCUCCCCUGUGGGGCUCUGAAGCCCACUUGGGUCACCCCUUGCCUGCAGAGCUGGCAGCCUCUCACCCUUUUUCCAACCCCCUCCCUUGUGCAGUGUUUCCUCAACCCCCUCUCCCUCUCCUUGGGAGUCCUCCGGGCAGCUGGUGCUGCCAUCCCUGGUCUCUGAGCUGCCCCCACCCCAAAGAGAGGUGCUUCCCAACCUUUGGGAGGCAGAGACUUGAGAGGAGGGAAGGAAGGAAGGAAGGAAGGAAGGAAGGAAGGAAGGAAGGAAGGGAGUCCAGUGUUGCCCGUGGCACCCCUGACCAUCAUUCAAGGCACCCCAGGGUGCCACGGCACAUGGGUUGAAAACCACUGAGAUAAACUGUUUAGCUUUAGCUAUAAUACAGGGGGAUAUCCACAUUCCUUUUGCUGCUGGCAUCUGUGUGGCUUGAGAAAGAAUAAAGUGUGUCUCCCGAGGUGAAUUCAAACUCCUUCAUUAUUACUAUGAUGCCACAAUGUGCUGAUCUAUGCAACUCUAUUACUAAACCCGAACCACUACAAAAAAUGAAUUUUAUGUUUGGAUUUCAUUAACUUUUAUAUAAUGCCUUCCAAAGCCUCAAAGAUGCUUUAUUGAAAAGUGGAGCAAAACUUUACAUAGUGUUGCAUGCCAUUUGGUGUUGGUGUAUAUCAGAUAUUAAAAGUACAAUCCUCUGCAUAUCUGAUCAGAAGUCAACCCCAUGGAGUUCAAUCAGAUUUAAUUCCAAGGAAAUAUGCUGAAUCAGUGAAAUUAGUCACGGAUUCAAAUACAUUCUCGAGCAAGAACAAUCCAGUCCUGGAAACAAAGACCUUUUAAAAGGAUGACUGUAGAGGUUUCCAUAUGGCUACAAAAGCUGGGUGCCUGCCCCUCUUUCUGCCAAUCGGUUGCAAGAGCCCAUGGGGUCUGUGUCCCUUUGGAGAAUAGAAGACACAGCAGAGACUGUCAGGCUUUGAGAAAUAUGCUUUAUUCCCCUCUUUACACCUUAAGUCUGCCUGGAGGGAGUCCAAAUCUUAGUCAUUCCAAGUCAUUCCAAGAGGGAGCAGCAAACCUGCCUACAGUCAGACCCUCCAAAGAUGGAUCUCAGCCCGUCUCCCUCCUUCGUCCUCCCAGAAACCCCUGUCUCUCUUCACACCCCACGGCAGAGGAGAAGUCCUCUUGCUCUGGCAAUGACCCUCAAUGGGCCCUCAAUGGCUCUCUAUGGUUUCCUUGGCCAGGCAGCCCAGGAAUUCCCUGUCUGCCACAGCUCUGCAGUUGGUGUCUUAAUCCAUAGCCCAGUUAAUCAAAAUCCUAGCAUUUAUUCAUUCCUAGGGUUUAGGGGGAACCUCCUCCCCUGAUCUAUAACACCAUUUUAUCCUUACUAGGCUUCAUUUUCUCUUUCACUUAAGCUCCAUCGUUUUAUCAGGAAGAUUGUGUUCAACAACAGUGUUGGAGAGAGCGUACAUUUUGAUAAGCAUAGAGAACUACUUGCAGAGUUUGAUGUCACAAACUGGGUCACCUUCUCCAACGGUUCUUUUGUUAGGCUCAAAGUUGGAAGACUGGACCCGCUGGCUCCGCAGGGGAAAGAGUUAACCAUUAAUGAGGACCAAAUAGUGUGGCAUAGAAGCUUUAACCAGGUGAGAUGCUAGAACAUGCGCGAGAAUGGAAAACAGUUGCAUAUUUGUGAGUUCAGUUUUCUACCUGCCCUCAAGUGGUUAAUUCUCCUGAGAAGGGUGGCAUUUUCAAACUACCCCCCCCCCUUCUUGUCAAAACAAACUGGGGAAAAUGUUGCUCUGCACUUUCACUUGAAGUACACCACAUUUCCUGGGUAGAUCUGAGUAAACAACCUCAUCAACACAUUUCAAAGUCCUGACCUCGCCAACAAUUCAGUGUCUUCUACAUGAAUUAAUUUCUGGAAACAAUUAAGUCAGGGUUUUCUCUCUGAAGCAAAUUUUCACCUAAGAAAAAUAUUCCCACGUUUAGGGCAGGAGGAUAAAUGUAAGCUUCUUGAUGCUAAUCUCGUUUGCUGCAUUUCUGGACAGGUUGUGCCUCUUUCUGUGUGCAAUGACAACUGCUAUCCUGGUUACAGCAGGAAAAAGAAGGAGGGAGAGAAAUUCUGCUGCUAUGAUUGUGCUCCAUGUCCAGAAGGGAUGGUCUCCAUGCAGAUGGGUAGGAAAUGCAAUGGAUGCCAACUUGUUGGGGGUGGAGAUCAGGCCUUGUUGAGUCUCUGUCUUCUAAAGUUGCUUGAUAUGCAGAAUGAACAGCUGAAGCUUUUUACAGAAUGGGGAGAAGACGUCAUUACCUACCCAUUUUGGCAAAAAAAAAAGUAGUUAGUGCCAUAGCUAGACAGAGCACUGGACAUGCCGUGAUACCUUCCUUUUCUACACUGGUUUGAGGGAAUUCUCAGUUCUGCCACUUACGGGUGGGGCCUCACAAGGACAGUUGUUGCCACUGAUCCUGCUACUGCCCAGGAGGACCCGGAGGGGUGCAGAGUUCUUUUUAACGUGUUUUUUUAAUUAACUAUUUUCCUUUCCCUUUAGAUUUUUUAUAUAUGGGGGUGGGAUGGAUGUUUGGGUGGGCUUGGGAAUUUAUUAGAUUUUGAUGAAUUUGUAAUUUUUGCAGUUUUUAUUUGUAUUGUUUUAUUGUUUUCUGGGUUGUUUUUGUUUUUUGUUUUUAUUGUUUUGAGGUUUUAUUGUUCUAGGCUGCGAAAGAAUAACAUUAAUUGCCAUCAAUGGAGGCUACUAUGAGGCCUGGGAUUGCUACCGUGGAGGGGCGAGGGAGGUAUGGCGGUGGGGUCAGAUGUUAUAGGCAAAGGGGAUCGAGAUAUGGAUACGCUCGUACCCCUUCCAAUCUGCACCCCUUCCCCAGGGACGAGGGUAGGGUGAGCAAGGAUUACUCACCUCCGUCACUGGUGCUGUGCAAUGCCAGGUCUAUAGGCAAUAAAACCGCCACCCUGCGAGAUUUCUUUAUCUCGCAGGGGGUCGACCUGGCUUGUGUGACGGAGACCUGGGUGCACGAAGGGGAAACUGUUACCUUACGAGAGAUGGCGCCCCCGGGUUUCUCCGUCCUCCACCAGUCACGGACUGUGGGCCGGGGGGGAGGGGUGGCAUUAUUAAUCCGGGAAGAUUGUUCUUUCAGGGCUCUACCAUCGCCAUCGAUCCCCCCUAGUGUGGGGCUCCGAGGAGAGCUUGGCUGUGUGGCUGGUAUACCGGCCACCUAGCGCACCAGCAGCCACCCUGUCAGGCCUAUUGGAGGCGGUGGCCGGCUGGGCCUUGGAGUUCCCUAACCUAUUGGUAUUGGGGGACUUCAACAUCCAUGCUGAUGCCGCUCCCUUCUCACAGGCUCUGGACCUGGUGUCUUCCAUGGCGACACUAGGGCUCUCCCAGUUUGUUUCGGGCCCCACACACCAAGCAGGCCACACGCUGGAUUUGAUCUUUGGUGUAGGUAUAGAUGUGAUCAUGUCUCCUUCGAUGAAGGUGCCAUGGUCUGAUCACUACGCUCUGAAAGCCAGGAUUGACUUUCCACCCCCACCCUGCUUAGGUGGCGAGCCGAUUUGAGGCUCGCCCGCAGAGGCUGAUGGACCCUGAUAGAUUCCGCCAAGCCUUGCGGGACCUUGCUCCCCCUGGCGACUCAUUGACUGAGCUUGUUGAGGGCUGGAAUAUCCAGCUCCUGGCAGCCAUCGAUGAGAUCGCACCUAAGCGCCCUCUGCAACCCCGCAGAAACCGGGCUCCCUGGUUUACCAAGGAGCUCCGGAAAAUGAAGCGGGACCUCAGUCAGCUAGAGCGAGUAUGGUGGGGUGCCCGUGAUGGAGCCUCAAGAACAUCUUAUAGGGCUUUUAUGAAAACCUACGAGAUGGCGGUGAAGGCUGCUAAGAAGUCUUACUUCUCAGCCUCCAUUGCAUCUACUAGCUCUCGCCCGGCGCAAUUAUUUAGUAUAAUCAGGUCUUUAACGUCCCUUGAGGGACAGCCAAAUUUAAAUAACAAUUUGACACACAGCUGUGAGGCAUUUGCGAGCUUUUUUGCGGAGAAGGUCUUGCUGCUCUGCCAUGACCUCCCUGCCAAUUUGGAUACAAUAAAGGAACUGGAGGCCCCUCGACUGUCCUCGGGUCCAGUAUUGGACCACUUCGACCGGAUAUCCCCAGCCGAUGUGGACAGACUCCUCCGAGCUGGAAAGCCCACCACCUGUCCUCUUGACCCAUGCCCGUCUUGGCUGAUUAGAGCGUGUCCAGACGAGGUGCGGGCCCCCCUGGGGGAUAUCAUCAAUUUGUCCCUUGGUACCGGGAUAUUCCCAGGGGAACUGAAGGAGGCAGUGGUGCGCCCGCUCUUAAAGAAAACAUCAUUAGAUCCUUUAGAUCUAUCCAAUUACCGCCCAGUUUCGAAUCUUCCGUUCCUGGGUAAGGUGAUUGAAAGAGCGGUUGCUGAACAGCUUGGUGGGUUUCUGGAUGAAACAUCGGCUCUGGAUCCAUUCCAGUCCGGCUUCCGCGCUGGUCAUGGGACCGAGACGGCUCUGGUUGCCCUAACAGAUGAUCUUCGUAGACAGCUGGAUCGAAAUGGGUCGGGGCUGCUGAUUCUUCUAGAUCUGUCAGCAGCUUUCGACAUGGUCAAUCACGAACUUCUGGACCACCGCCUUGCCGACGUGGGGAUCCAGGGCACAGUCCUUCAAUGGCUGCGCUUGUUUCUCUCUGGUUGGGGACAGAGGGUGGCGCUUGGGGGGGAAUUGUCAUUGCCCCACUCCUUGGUGUGUGGAGUACCUCAGGGUGCGAUACUCUCCCCGAUGCUUUUCAACAUCUUUAUGCGCCCCCUCGCCGAGCUUGUCCAGAGUUUUGGGCUGGGUUGCCAUCAGUAUGCUGAUGACACCCAACUCUGUCUGUUGAUGGAUGGCCAUCCUGACUCAGCCCCAGACACACUGACCAGAUGUUUGGAAGCUGUGGCUGGAUGGUUACGUGGGAGCCGGUUGAAGUUAAAUCCUUCGAAGACAGAGGUCCUCUGGCUGGGACGGGACGAUAUGGGGUUGGGGGGGGCAGCUCCCAUCUCUUGCAGGGGCGCAAUUAGUGCCAGCACCUUCCGUUAAGAGUUUGGGUGUAAUCUUCGACACCUCCCUUUCCAUGGAGGCGCAGAUGGCAGCUACAACAAAGGCGGCAUUUCUCCAUCUCCGCCAAGCUAAGCAGUUGGCUCCUUACCUCUCUCGCCCUGACCUAGCCACUGUGAUCCACGCGACGGUCACCUCCAGACUGGAUUAUUGUAACUCACUCUACGUGGGGCUGCCCUUGAGACUGACCCAGAAACUCCAGCGGGUGCAGAAUGCUGCAGCGAGACUCCUUACGGGGUCUUCGCUGCGAGAUCACAUUCAUCCGGUGCUAUACCAGCUGCACUGGCUCCCGGUGGAGUACAGGAUCAGGUUUAAGGUGCUGGUUUUAACCUUUAAAGUCCUAUAUGGCCUAGGACCCUCGUACCUACGGGACCGCCUCUCCUGGUAUGCCCCACAGAGGAACCUACGGUCUUCAAAUAAAAACAUCUUGAAGGUCCCAGGCCACAGAGAAGUUAGGCUGGCCUCAACUAGAGCCAGGGCUUUUUCGGCUGCGGCUCCGAUCUGGUGGAACGCUCUGUCACAAGAGACUAGGGCCCUGCAGGACCUGACAUCUUUCCGCAGGGCCUGCAAGACAGAGCUGUUCCACCAGGCCUUUGGCCAGGGCACAGUCUGACUCCCUCCCUCGGCAAUCUUCGCGGAGCUCUGGCCCAAUGGUUGCCAGUGGCUUGAAUUAAUUAAUUUUAUAAUGAAUGAUUUUAGAGUGUUGUUUGUGCUGUACUUUUGUACUGUUUUAUUGUUGUUAGCCGCCCUGAGCCCGGCUUCGGCUGGGGAGGGCGGGAUAUAAAUAAAAUUUAUUAUUAUUAUUAUUAUUAUUAUUAUUAUUAUUAUUAUUAUCAUUAUUAUUAUUAUUAUUAUACCUUCCUUUUCACUUACUUCAAUAGACCAGGUCCUGCAGUUCAGAAUUGACAUCCAACACAAAUUAACAUUACCCAAGGAGACUGGGCAUUGAAUCUGAAGUCCUAGUAAGACAAAUCAGACUCAUUCUUCAGUUCUGAGCAUGCCCAGAUAUGUUUCUUUGGAAAGCCACCUACUCAGCUACCAAGAAGGCCACAUCCUGCUGAGAGCUAGACAGGGGGUUUGCCAGCUAGCUUCCUUUCUAACUGCCCCCCCCCUUGUUGUUACUCAUUUGACCAGUGAGGGAUCUUUGGAGCAAGGAUGCAUUGGAUUGGCUGACAAAGAAAGUGCUAGUCAGUUUUAUUUAGUCCUGUUACUAUUGCUUUGUAUUUGGGGAAUGGAGCUUUGCUGGAAGGAAAAUAAAUGGCAAGUACCUAUGUCUUCUUGUUGGAAAAGUUUCCUGUGCUUUCUUGUGUCCUCCCACCCAGUGGUCAAAUCCUGUCCAUGAGGGGUUGGGUUGAUCACUAUAGAAUACAGUAGUACCUCUGGUUAUGUAACCCUCUGGUUACAUAAACUUCUGGAUGUGAAAGCGGCAAACCCAGAGGUAUUUGACCAGGUUUUGCCACAAGCGCAUGCACAGAAGCGGUCCUCAGGUUGCAGAAACCUCUAGAUCUGUCCUGACCUCCAGAACGGAUCCCAUCCGCAACCAGAGGUACAGCUGUACAUGAAUCAAAGUCUUGAAAUAUUUAAGCAUCUUUCCUUUAUUUUUCAGACAUGGAUACCUGUAUCAAAUGUAAAGCAGAUCAGUAUCCAAACUACAACCAAAAUCAUUGCAU
Molecule: non-coding RNA, 11403 nt
Organism: Podarcis lilfordi (Lilford's wall lizard)
Lineage: Eukaryota; Metazoa; Chordata; Lepidosauria; Squamata; Lacertidae
Source: the annotation of a GenBank genome assembly